UAAUAAGUGUUUUAUGGCACUUUUUAAAUCCAUAUCCACCUUGUGUGCAAUGUCAGUCGAUCUUCUUCAUGGAGAUCGACCAAACAUCAACCUUUAUCUUUUAACUCUUUGUCUGAAAAUAUUAUGAGUAAACAAUUCAAAAUA
Molecule: unclassified non-coding RNA, 144 nt
Filed under: soil metagenome
Description: partial internal transcribed spacer 1
Source: RNAcentral